RNAcentral lists this ribosomal RNA (468 nucleotides) under uncultured bacterium. RNAcentral's name for it is "partial 16S ribosomal RNA". It matches the Rfam family "Bacterial small subunit ribosomal RNA", at positions 28 to 507 of the family's 1533-position model. The record is from RNAcentral.
GACGAACGCUGGCGGCGUGCUUAACACAUGCAAGUCGAACGGAAAGGCCCUGCUUUUGUGGGGUGCUCGAGUGGCGAACGGGUGAGUAACACGUGGGUAACCUGCCCUUGACUUUGGGAUAACUUCAGGAAACUGGGGCUAAUACCGGAUAGGAGCUCCUGCUGCAUGGUGGGGGUUGGAAAGUUUCGGCGGUUGGGGAUGGACUCGCGGCUUAUCAGCUUGUUGGUGGGGUAGUGGCUUACCAAGGCUUUGACGGGUAGCCGGCCUGAGAGGGUGACCGGCCACAUUGGGACUGAGAUACGGCCCAGACUCCUACGGGAGGCAGCAGUGGGGAAUAUUGCACAAUGGGCGGAAGCCUGAUGCAGCAACGCCGCGUGCGGGAUGACGGCCUUCGGGUUGUAAACCGCUUUCGCCUGUGACGAAGCGUGAGUGACGGUAAUGGGUAAAGAAGUACCGGCUAACUACGUG